Molecule: ribosomal RNA, 460 nt
Filed under: uncultured bacterium
Lineage: Bacteria
Description: partial 16S ribosomal RNA
Rfam family: Bacterial small subunit ribosomal RNA
Source: RNAcentral
CCUACGGGGGGCAGCAGUGAGGAAUAUUGGUCAAUGGACGAGAGUCUGAACCAGCCAAGUAGCGUGAAGGAUGACUGCCCUAUGGGUUGUAAACUUCUUUUAUAUGGGAAUAAAAUGUUCCACGUGUGGGCUUUUGUAUGUACUAUAUGAAUAAGCAUCGGCUAACUCCGUGCCAGCAGCCGCGGUAAUACGGAGGAUCCGAGCGUUAUCCGGAUUUAUUGGGUUUAAAGGGAGCGUAGGUGGUUUGUUAAGUCAGUUGUGAAAGUUUGCGGGUCAAACGUAAUAUUGCAGUUGAAACUGGCAGUCUUGAGUACAGUAGAGGUGAGCGGAAUUCGUGGUGUAGCGGUGAAAUGCUUAGAUAUCACGAAGAACUCCGAUUGCGAAGGCAGCUCACUGGACUGCAACUGACACUGAGGCUCGAAAGUGUGGGUAUCAAACAGGAUUAGAUACCCUUGUAGUC